RNAcentral lists this ribosomal RNA (431 nucleotides) under uncultured bacterium. RNAcentral describes it as "bacterial SSU rRNA". It matches the Rfam family "Bacterial small subunit ribosomal RNA", at positions 173 to 601 of the family's 1533-position model. The record is from RNAcentral.
UACGAUCUAUGGAUGAAAGCGGGGGACCGUAAGGCUCGCGCGAUUGGAGCGGCCGAUAUCAGAUUAGGUAGUUGUGGGGUAAAGGCCUACCAAGCCGACGAUCUGUAGCUGGUCUGAGAGGACGACCAGCCACACUGGGACUGAGACACGGCCCAGACUCCUACGGGAGGCAGCAGUGGGGAAUUUUGGACAAUGGGCGCAAGCCUGAUCCAGCAAUGCCGCGUGCAGGACGAAGGCCUUCGGGUUGUAAACUGCUUUUGUACGGAGCGAAAAGGCUCUCUCUAAUACAGGGGGUUCAUGACGGUACCGUAAGAAUAAGCACCGGCUAACUACGUGCCAGCAGCCGCGGUAAUACGUAGGGGUGCAAGCGUUAAUCGGAAUUACUGGGCGUAAAGCGUGCGCAGGCGGUUAUGUAAGACAGAGGUGAAAUC